UACAGAGGGGGCAAGCGUUAUUCGGAAUUAUUGGGCGUAAAGGGCGCGUAGGCGGCUUUGCAAGUGGCGGGUGAAAUCCCUCGGCUUAACCGAGGAACUGCCUGCCAGACUGCAAGGCUCGAGACCGGGAGAGGUGAGUGGAAUUCCCAGUGUAGCGGUAGAAAUGCGUAGAUAGUUGGGAGGAACACCAGUGGCGAAGGCGGCUCACUGGACCGGAACUGACGCUGAGGCGGCGAAAGCGUGGGGAGCAAACAGG
This 256-nucleotide ribosomal RNA is filed under the name uncultured bacterium. Its description in RNAcentral is "partial 16S ribosomal RNA". It matches the Rfam family "Bacterial small subunit ribosomal RNA", at positions 524 to 776 of the family's 1533-position model. The record is from RNAcentral.